Molecule: ribosomal RNA, 492 nt
Filed under: uncultured bacterium
Lineage: Bacteria
Description: partial 16S ribosomal RNA
Rfam family: Bacterial small subunit ribosomal RNA
Source: RNAcentral
AGUGAACGCUGGCGGUAGGCCUAACACAUGCAAGUCGAACGGCAGCACAGCAAGAGCUUGCUCUUACGGGUGGCGAGUGGCGGACGGGUGAGGAGUACAUCGGAAUCUACUUUUUCGUGGGGGAUAACGUAGGGAAACUUACGCUAAUACCGCAUACGACCUACGGGUGAAAGCAGGGGAUCUUCGGACCUUGCGCGAUUGAAUGAGCCGAUGUCGGAUUAGCUAGUUGGCGGGGUAAAGGCCCACCAAGGCGACGAUCCGUAGCUGGUCUGAGAGGAUGAUCAGCCACACUGGAACUGAGACACGGUCCAGGCUCCUACGGGAGGCAGCAGUGGGGAAUAUUGGACAAUGGGCGCAAGCCUGAUCCAGCCAUACCGCGUGGGUGAAGAAGGCCUUCGGGUUGUAAAGCCCUUUUGUUGGGAAAGAAAAGCAGCAGGUUAAUACCCCGCUGUUCUGACGGUACCCAAAGAAUAAGCACCGGCUAACUUCGUG